This 776-nucleotide ribosomal RNA is filed under the name Vibrio sp. RNAcentral describes it as "bacterial SSU rRNA". It matches the Rfam family "Bacterial small subunit ribosomal RNA", at positions 42 to 798 of the family's 1533-position model. The record is from RNAcentral. Lineage: Bacteria; Pseudomonadati; Pseudomonadota; Gammaproteobacteria; Vibrionales; Vibrionaceae.
AUGGGAGCCUACCAUGCAGUCGAGCGGAAACGAGUUGUCUGAACCUUCGGGGAACGAUAACGGCGUCGAGCGGCGGACGGGUGAGUAAUGCCUGGGAAAUUGCCCUGAUGUGGGGGAUAACCAUUGGAAACGAUGGCUAAUACCGCAUAAUAGCUUCGGCUCAAAGAGGGGGACCUUCGGGCCUCUCGCGUCAGGAUAUGCCCAGGUGGGAUUAGCUAGUUGGUGAGGUAAUGGCUCACCAAGGCGACGAUCCCUAGCUGGUCUGAGAGGAUGAUCAGCCACACUGGAACUGAGACACGGUCCAGACUCCUACGGGAGGCAGCAGUGGGGAAUAUUGCACAAUGGGCGCAAGCCUGAUGCAGCCAUGCCGCGUGUAUGAAGAAGGCCUUCGGGUUGUAAAGUACUUUCAGCAGUGAGGAAGGUGGAUGUGUUAAUAGCGCCUUCAUUUGACGUUAGCUGCAGAAGAAGCACCGGCUAACUCCGUGCCAGCAGCCGCGGUAAUACGGAGGGUGCGAGCGUUAAUCGGAAUUACUGGGCGUAAAGCGCAUGCAGGUGGUUUGUUAAGUCAGAUGUGAAAGCCCGGGGCUCAACCUCGGAAUUGCAUUUGAAACUGGCAGACUAGAGUACUGUAGAGGGGGGUAGAAUUUCAGGUGUAGCGGUGAAAUGCGUAGAGAUCUGAAGGAAUACCGGUGGCGAAGGCGGCCCCCUGGACAGAUACUGACACUCAGAUGCGAAAGCGUGGGGAGCAAACAGGAUUAGAUACCUGGGUAGUCAAA